Molecule: ribosomal RNA, 461 nt
Filed under: uncultured Rhodococcus sp.
Lineage: Bacteria; Bacillati; Actinomycetota; Actinomycetes; Mycobacteriales; Nocardiaceae
Description: bacterial SSU rRNA
Rfam family: Bacterial small subunit ribosomal RNA
Source: RNAcentral
CCCGCACAAGCGGCGGAGCAUGUGGAUUAAUUCGAUGCAACGCGAAGAACCUUACCUGGGUUUGACAUACACCGGAAAACCGUAGAGAUACGGUCCCCCUUGUGGUCGGUGUACAGGUGGUGCAUGGCUGUCGUCAGCUCGUGUCGUGAGAUGUUGGGUUAAGUCCCGCAACGAGCGCAACCCUUGUCUUAUGUUGCCAGCACGUGAUGGUGGGGACUCGUAAGAGACUGCCGGGGUCAACUCGGAGGAAGUGGGGACGACGUCAAGUCAUCAUGCCCCUUAUGUCCAGGGCUUCACACAUGCUACAAUGGCCAGUACAGAGGGCUGCGAGACCGUGAGGUGGAGCGAAUCCCUUAAAGCUGGUCUCAGUUCGGAUCGGGGUCUGCAACUCGACCCCGUGAAGUCGGAGUCGCUAGUAAUCGCAGAUCAGCAACGCUGCGGUGAAUACGUUCCCGGGCCUU